AACGAACGCUGGCGGCAUGCCUAACACAUGCAAGUCGAACGAAGUCUUCGGACUUAGUGGCGCACGGGUGCGUAACGCGUGGGAAUCUGCCCUUGGGUGCGGAAUAACUUCUCGAAAGGGAUGCUAAUACCGCAUAAUGUCGUAAAGACCAAAGAUUUAUCGCCCAAGGAUGAGCCCGCGUAAGAUUAGCUAGUUGGUGGGGUAAAAGCCUACCAAGGCGACGAUCUUUAGCUGGUCUGAGAGGAUGAUCAGCCACACUGGGACUGAGACACGGCCCAGACUCCUACGGGAGGCAGGCAGUGGGGAAUAUUGGACAAUGGGCGAAAGCCUGAUCCAGCAAUGCCGCGUGAGUGAUGAAGGCCCUAGGGUUGUAAA
This 375-nucleotide ribosomal RNA is filed under the name uncultured bacterium. RNAcentral describes it as "bacterial SSU rRNA". It matches the Rfam family "Bacterial small subunit ribosomal RNA", at positions 29 to 429 of the family's 1533-position model. The record is from RNAcentral.